Molecule: unclassified non-coding RNA, 320 nt
Filed under: plant metagenome
Description: partial contains 5.8S ribosomal RNA, internal transcribed spacer 2, and large subunit ribosomal RNA
Source: RNAcentral
GGUAUCGGCCCUGUUUUUUACGCUCGUGUCCCCAGCCAUUGCUGCUCCGCAGGAUCCGGCGGCCACCCGUGUGGGCGUGAUCAAUAUGCAGAAGGCUAUCCAAAGCGUGGGUGAAGGUAAAAAAGCCCAAGAGACUUUGAAGAAAGAGUGGGAUGAGCGCUCGAAGAAGCUCCAGGCCGAUGGAAAAAAAAUCCAGGAGUCGAUGGAAAAUCUACGCAAGCAGGCCAUGGUGCUCGAUGAAAAAUCCCGUCGCCAAAAAGAAGAAGAGAUUCAGCAGCAGAUCAUGAAGCUUCGCGAGUCGGAAGCCCGCAAUACGGCUG